CCCUUAGAUGUUCUGGUCCGCACGCGUGCUACACUGAGUGGAUCAGCGGGUCAGCUUGCGCGAAAGCGUUUCCUAAUCUUUAAAUCCGCUCGUUAUGGGGAUUGACGGUUGCAAUUUUCUGUCAUGAACGAGGAAUACCUUGUAAGCGCGGGUCAUCAUCCCGCGCUGAAUACGUCCCUGCCCUUUGUACACACCGCCCGUCGCUCCUACCGAUUGAAUGAUUCGGUGAAGAUUCCGGACCGUGUUGUCACCGCUUCACGGCGGUUUUGACGUGGGAAGUUAUCUAAACCUCAUCAUUUAGAGGAAGGUGAAGUCGUAACA
RNAcentral lists this ribosomal RNA (321 nucleotides) under uncultured eukaryote. RNAcentral describes it as "partial 18S ribosomal RNA". It matches the Rfam family "Eukaryotic small subunit ribosomal RNA", at positions 1470 to 1796 of the family's 1831-position model. The record is from RNAcentral.